Molecule: ribosomal RNA, 253 nt
Filed under: uncultured bacterium
Lineage: Bacteria
Description: partial 16S ribosomal RNA
Rfam family: Bacterial small subunit ribosomal RNA
Source: RNAcentral
UACGUAGGGGGCAAGCGUUAUCCGGAUUUACUGGGUGUAAAGGGAGCGUAGACGGAAAGGCAAGUCAGAAGUGAAAACCCAAGGCUCAACCAUGGGACUGCUUUUGAAACUGUCAAACUAGAGUACGGGAGAGGUAAGAGGAAUUCCUAGUGUAGCGGUGAAAUGCGUAGAUAUUAGGAGGAACACCAGUGGCGAAGGCGUCUUACUGGACCGAAACUGACGUUGAGGCUCGAAAGCGUGGGGAGCAAACAGG